GAGGGUAUAGCUCAGUGGUAGAGUAAAUGCCUAGCAUGCAUGAGGUCCUGGGUUCAAUCCCCAGUACCUCCA
Molecule: transfer RNA, 72 nt
Organism: Camelus ferus (Wild Bactrian camel)
Lineage: Eukaryota; Metazoa; Chordata; Mammalia; Artiodactyla; Camelidae
Rfam family: tRNA
About the family: Transfer RNA (tRNA) molecules are approximately 80 nucleotides in length. Their secondary structure includes four short double-helical elements and three loops (D, anti-codon, and T loops). Further hydrogen bonds mediate the characteristic L-shaped molecular structure. tRNAs have two regions of fundamental functional importance: the anti-codon, which is responsible for specific mRNA codon recognition, and the 3' end, to which the tRNAs corresponding amino acid is attached (by aminoacyl-tRNA synthetases). tRNAs cope with the degeneracy of the genetic code in two manners: having more than one tRNA (with a specific anti-codon) for a particular amino acid; and 'wobble' base-pairing, i.e. permitting non-standard base-pairing at the 3rd anti-codon position.
Source: Rfam